AUACUUGAGUUAAAAAUGCACAAGUUGGGAAUCAUUUAAUUCAUAUCAAAUAAGGAUAUCUGUAUGUAACUUUGGAUCUGAGAAAAGGGAGAAACUACCACAAAAUGAUGCAUCUGCAUGUUGUACUAUAGCCCUUAUGAAAUCUUUUUCAUUAUGAUUAUAUUUAGUAAAAGACUUGAAUGUGUGCAGUGUUAUGAUCCAACAGCUGCUAUUGCCUGCAAUUCCACAAGCAAUUCCCGCAAAAUAUGUCUUUUACAACAGAAUCAUUUCAUUGAAUUACUAAUCAAUACAACUUGGUGUCAGACCAUACAUAAUAGAAAUAAUCUACUGUUUAAGAAUUUCUCUUCAAAUAGCAGCUCAGCUGCUGGCAAUAUCAAACUUAGAACUUAUAAAAUCUGGAAGAAGUAACAAAGCUUGGAGCUGUCUGGCAGUGCUUUUAUGAUUCAUUGCUACUAAGACUCUCAACUUCCAGUCAUCAAUUUGUGAAGGAGGCUCUGCCCUGAAAACUUUAAAUGACUAAUGGCAAUAGUCCUGCUGUCAUUUUCUGUUGCUGAGACCUUCCCCAUUCUCCAAGCAUCCAGGGACCCCAGUCUGAAAAACAGAGCCCAGACGAUCUCUGUGAUGUUGCUCAGUUUCUACUAUUUCAAUGUUAAUGUAUAAGCUUAUCUACUGAACUGGACUUUCCCAAUUCAGGAAAUGAUGCAAGUUAAUUUCUGUUCAUACUCAGAAAUAUGAUACCUUGGAAAAGCAUACUUUCUGGACCUGACCUGAUUACUUACAUCUGGCUCAAAAUACAGGUCUUUCCAGGUACUUCACUACAUAGGAAAAACUGCAAGUGCAGAAUCUGAAACUUCCACGUCUUAAUGAGGAUAAAACGGGAAAAAAAAAACUACUUCCAAGGUCAGUAUUAACCUAAUGCUUCUGCAGUCAGACUGCAUGGCCUGUGUGUGAGGAAAAAAUGUAGAUGAUGCUCCCUAUUGUGGUGGGACCAGAGCAGGCAGGUGUAAUAGUAAAACAGAAGCAUGAUGAUUUUUCCAGUCUGCUGUCAGGGGUAGUUUCAGAAGGGAGUGGGGCUGGCUGGCAUGAAUACCUUGUCUAUUGGCCCGUGCUGCCUCCCAGUGGGCACCAACUUCUCUUUCGGGGGGAAAAGGGUUUUUUGUAAAUGCCCAAUACAGAAACCACUGCCCUCAGACAACUAAUGGGGGAAUUCACUGACGGCAACACUUCUGCUGUCUAAAACCAAACUCUUGGGUUUUGUACAGUCUACAGCACUCUGUGAUGAUCUCGGAUGCAUGGCUCAUCCAUGGGUUUCUGCAGAACAUAAGCCUCCAUUUAAAAGCAGACAAAA
This is a long non-coding RNA of Neopsephotus bourkii (Bourke's parrot), 1348 nucleotides long. RefSeq lists it as uncharacterized. The transcript is spliced from 3 exons. NCBI's taxonomy places the organism in Eukaryota, Metazoa, Chordata, Aves, Psittaciformes, Psittacidae. The record is from RefSeq and is a predicted model, not a curated record.